RNAcentral lists this ribosomal RNA (305 nucleotides) under uncultured bacterium. Its description in RNAcentral is "bacterial SSU rRNA". It matches the Rfam family "Bacterial small subunit ribosomal RNA", at positions 337 to 658 of the family's 1533-position model. The record is from RNAcentral.
GCCUACGGGGCGCAGCAGUGGGGAAUAUUGCGCAAUGGGGGCAACCCUGACGCAGCAACGCCGCGUGAUUGAAGAAGGCCUUCGGGUUGUAAAGAUCUUUAAUCAGGGACGAAAAAUGACGGUACCUGAAGAAUAAGCUCCGGCUAACUACGUGCCAGCAGCCGCGGUAAUACGUAGGGAGCAAGCGUUAUCCGGAUUUAUUGGGUGUAAAGGGUGCGUAGACGGGAAAUUAAGUUAGUUGUGAAAUCCCUCGGCUCAACUGAGGAACUGCAACUAAAACUGAUUUUCUUGAGUGCAGGAGAGGG